GGUCAGUGAUGUGAUGUAAAAGGGCUGAUGUCCAGCUCUCCUUCCGGUCCUCGUCCCUCCCAGCCGGCUCCACUAAUUUUCCCAGCAUGCUCUAGUUGUGCAGCCCUGGUCUGGUGUGUCGGCUGAUACGAUGGACGUUUCUGCUCAAUAAGAGUCUUGUUAGAGAAUCGAGUGAGAUUCUUGACAGAAACAUCCCACAGAAACGCAAACGCAGGAGGGCCGGACCGAAGGAGCCUGGUCGGCUGAUCUCAAGAAUCAUACUGAGACC
Molecule: non-coding RNA, 268 nt
Organism: Puntigrus tetrazona (Sumatra barb)
Lineage: Eukaryota; Metazoa; Chordata; Actinopteri; Cypriniformes; Cyprinidae
Product: small Cajal body-specific RNA 6
Exons: 1
Source: RefSeq, a predicted model, not a curated record